RNAcentral lists this unclassified non-coding RNA (644 nucleotides) under Hevea brasiliensis (rubber tree). The record is from RNAcentral. Lineage: Eukaryota; Viridiplantae; Streptophyta; Magnoliopsida; Malpighiales; Euphorbiaceae.
AAAAAUGUCAUAUCCAGAAACUCAGGCUUAUUCACAUUACUACCAUAGCUUAAUUUAAGGGAGCCUGAUCACAUGGAUGAACAAACUUCACUUUUACAGCUUCCAAAUUUCUGAAAGCAUGCUUGAGUAAGCAAUGGGCUCCAGAAAGGAAGAACUGAACUGUAAGAAAACUAAAAUCAGGACCAGCUAUAUUAGCUUGUUGCAAUCACGAGCAAGCUCAAAUUACAGGGAACAACUUAUUGUUUGUUCCACUCCUUCAGACAUAGGGCUUGGAACAUCAAAAUUAGAUCUCGACAGGGAACCAUUUCCAAAUCUUUGAGGAAUUCCACAGAAAUUUUCCAAUCAACCAAAUCUCACCACCAUCCAUAAACAACCCGGGAGUACUUAUCCUUAAGCCACCUGAAACUCCUCCUAAAAGAAAGUUUAACUUUUCCCUCAACAGUGUACAUUUUGUAGCUAGCAACCCUCUUCUUCCUUUGAAACUCAGGGUCACUCAAGCUCCAAGACUUUGAAGAAAAAGAAGACCCAGAAGUGCUCUUGCCUUUCUUGAGCUUAAAGCCCUUGGUGGUGUAGCCGUUGUUAGCCAUCUGGGAUUGUGCAUAGGAGGCACUGUAGGACCUGAGGUCAUAGGAAGUGGUGGGCGG